RNAcentral lists this long non-coding RNA (4441 nucleotides) under Canis lupus familiaris (dog). RNAcentral describes it as "lncRNA (ENSCAFG00040001349.1)". The record is from RNAcentral. Lineage: Eukaryota; Metazoa; Chordata; Mammalia; Carnivora; Canidae.
AUGACAGGCCUUUUCCACAGAACUUUCUCUUCCUCAGUCAAGCCAGGAACUGUUUCUAAAAGCCCCAGCAGAGCCUCUGAAUUCCUGAGUGAUCAUUCUCUUUGUCAGGUGCCAGAUGUGCCAGCAGUGCCCAGGUUUCCAGGGGGCCGAGUCCAGAAGGGCAUCUGGCCAGAGGCUGGCUUCGUGGAAGACACGGCCCAUGUGUUUCUGGCCGUGAAUCCUGCCACAGGGUCAUCCUUGGGACACAGGACCACCGGGGGUCCUGCUCUGCCAUCACACUCGGCUGACGGAAUCCGAACACCAGAGCACUGCGCCUCGUCUCAAUCCAGUGACCUACAUAUUUCACACUCAACCAUCCAGGCUCGCACAGGCAGCAGGCUGUGUUUCAGUAUCUCUCAGUGAGAACUCUACUGGCAUUUGGGGGAAGAGAAAGAGGGGGAAAGGGGGCUGGGUUCGGGCAAUUCAUUGUAUAGAGAAAUCCCAGGCAAUGAGGCAUGAGUAGCAUGUCCUCACCACCACCCCCUUCCCAUUGCCCACAUUCAAUCCCUCUGCCAAUACACAUUUCCAGAUGUCCCUUUGGGAAAGAGAAAUGCAGUUAAGAAACUAUAUAAAAAGAAGUCAGUGAGUAAUAAACCUCAAGUGUCUCGCAUAGCUGAGCGUGAAGAACUGAAAAAUCAGGACACCAUGGGGCCAGAGUACAUGGAGGCAUCUUGUAACGAACUAUCCUUCCAAGUCCAGGCAUUUUGCAUCCCAAAGAGUCCAAGAAAUUAUCUUAUUUGGAGUCUCAGAUAAAGAGAAGACUCAAUGAGAUGAGCAGAGACAAGUGGAGAUGAGAGAGUCGUUAGACCACCGACUGGUCCAUCUCAUCCUGGUUCUAAGUGCUGUCCCAGUCCCUGACUCCACAAGUCCCUGUGCUCUCUGCUCUUGGAUUCCAUGGGAUUGCCCACACACUUAAACCAAAUCUUCUCCCCCCUUUGUGUUUUUGCCUUAAGUUAAAGUUGUCUCAGUUCUUUUCAACCAGGAAAACUUGACUCAGAACUUAGACUUGAAAGGGUAAUCAAUAAUGCAGGAUGCUGAUAAAACGAGCCAUUAACACAACAAGGUCAUCGAGGGAGUGUCAUACAUAUGGUAACCAGGUUUGCUGGAGUCUUGGUAUACUCCCCUUACCCCCCUUUUACAUCCAGUGUCCCUGUUGGACAAUAAGUUAUAUGGUCACCCUAGCCACAAAAUGGACAACACAGUCUUCAUGAAGAAAGUUGACCUUAAUACAAGGAGGGCUUUGGGUAAAAGAAGAGGAAAUGUUUUACCCAAGAGUCUCUUUUUGUUAUAGGUGCACCUGGGCAUGGUUCAAGAUGAAAUAUAGCUGGCUUCCAAACUGGCAGGCUGUGGAGAAUUAAAAAGGGAGAAUGUACUAUUACCUUAUUAUGUUUUCUUCCCUGGCAAACUCAUCUAUCAAAAUCUGUUGUUGUGACCCAUCAGAGUAACUGAUUCUGGUUUGGCAGACGGAAUGACAAACGCUUUAGGCUUUAUCAUCUUUGAAGAGGAAUAUUGUCUAAUAGCAUUACUUAGAUGACCCCAUCUCAUUAGUGUCCUCUCUUGUUGCAAGAGGAGCAAAGCAGCAAAGGGACUCUCUCCUUUCUAAGAUCAGUGGCGAUUCCCAUGGUUGUGGGACACACAGAGAAGGUCUGCAUAAGAGGCCAGGAGUCACCCUGAAACAGCGCUUGGCCAAAGCCGCCCAAUCUCUGAUACCAGCCGGUCAGGUUGUCUUCUGUUUGAAUUUUCUGUUGCGGGGGUAAUGGCACUAGCAUAUGGAGUCCAGAGUCAGAAAUGGCUUUGUUUUUUUCUUCUGCAUUUUAAUUUUAUUUAUUAAUUUGGGACAUGGAGGUGGCACUUUGAACACUUCAUAUGUGAUCUUUUAUCUCACUGUAAUUCAUUUUAUCAGUGAGACCUUAUCUACUUAGUGUGUCAUUAUGCUUAUCACUGGGACCAGGUGCUCUGAACAGAGGCCCUCUGAUUUUCUGUUCAGCUCCACUCCUUUUUUUUUUUUUUUUUUUAAGAUUUUAUUUAUUUAUUCAUGAGAGACAGAGAGGGACAGAGACACAGGCAGAGGGAGAAGCAGGGUCCCUGCAGAGAGCCUGAUGCGGGACUCGAUCCCAGGACCCUACGAUCACAACCUGGGCCAGAGGCUGACACUCAACCCCUGAGCCACCCAGGGGCCCCAGCUCUCUACUUCCCUUAACAACGAGGACGUUUCUACUUCUGUGAAUGUGUGUGUCACUUUUCUGUUUGGCCUUUACUCGUCUGGAAAGAAAAGGGGGAAAAAUGGGGAAGAAAAAGGGGAAGAAAAUGAGGAUUGGACUGCCUUCUUCCCUUCUAAUCUUUGGUGGAAAGGCAGGACAUAGAUACACAGCAAGAAUAAGGUGAACAUGACUUCGGUUGUGAACCCCUUGCUCUAACUUUCUGAGAGCCCUGUGAUGGUGAAAGCCGUGUGUCAGCUCGGCUGUGAGCUGUUCUGUAAGUUGGGGACCUCGGUGAAGCAGACAACCCUCCCUCACACGGGUGGGCAUCAGCCAACUGGUUCAGGCCUGAAGAGACUAGAAAGGUGGCAGAGCGGCAAAUUUGCUGUGUCUCUGCCUCACCUGGGACAUCCGUCUUCUCCCGCCCUGGCUGUUGUUGCUCCUGGUUCAAGGACUUGGACCAAGUGACGCCACCGGGUCUCCGGGUUCCCGACUUGCAGACAGCAGAUUGUGGGACUUACUUGGCCUCCAUAAGCACUUGAGCCAAUUUCUAGAAUGAAUCCCCUCGGAGAUAUAUGUCUCUGUAUAUCCUGUUGGUUCUGUUUCCCUGGAGGACCCCGACUCCUACAAUCCCUCAAGGACCCUCCACUCACUUCUUCUCUUGGGCUUUUGCAUCCUAAGACCCUGUAAGAUUUUCAUUUGUUACUAUUGUGGGUGCUUCCUGUUAUUGGUGGAUUUUAAUUGCUUGUGUCGCUGGGGGCUUAGACCCCAGACUCACCCCUGCUGGGUGCAUCUCCAGGCCCUCUCUUGCUCUUUGCUCUUGGCUUUCCAGACUUGACUAGUGACCCCUCACUGCCAUCCUGACUGUAAGUCUAGGGUUCUUCCUCCUUUGUGGCUUCCCUUCUACUUUGGGAAGGUUCAAUUGACCCCUAACAGUUGACUCUGUUUCUCACGCUGCUCCACUUUGUCCUCAGAUUGUUUGCUGGAAUUAAGAACCUGACCUCUUCACAUUUUCUUUGCCUUCUGGUCCAGACAUUUGUUUUCAAUCAUACUCCUCUGGAUCUCGUGUUGUGGGCUAUCCAGUAAUGAAAAAUAUCAAAUCAAUACGUUCUGGGUCUGUCAAAAACAUCCUUAUUUUAUAUAAACCUUGUUUAACUUCUGCGUGAGUGUUGCAAUCCCUUCUGGGAGAUACUCUCCCAUGAGGGCAGAAUUUAGCUCAGGCCUGAUCUCAGCCUGGCUCUCCUCCCAUCUCUGCAAUGCUUUCUUUUAGAAUCUCAAUGCUACACAUUUCUUGGUCAUGUUGCUGUGAAGUGCAGGCAAUGCUCCAGUGACUGUAACCUCUUAAUUCAUCACAUUGUGUUAUAAGUAUUUUUUUUAUGGCUCUUUCUGGCUUUUCCUCUCAAACCUCUCCAGAUCCACUAGAGUUUUUAAAAUCUUAAAUUCUCUUACCAUGGAUUGCCAUUCAAGAACACCCUCAUAGAAACACCUAGAAUAGAAAAAAGGAAGGAAGGAAGGAAGGAAGGAAGGAAGGAAGGAAGGAAGGAAGGAAGGAAGGAAGGAGGGAGGGAGGGAAGGCAGGCCAGCCAGAAUAAUGUUUGUUUGAAUGACUGUCUUGGCAUCCAUGGUCCAGUCAACAUGAUACAUAAAAUUAAUCAUCAUCACUGUCUAAUAAUCUGGAAUCAAAUAAUGGUGAUGGUUGCAGAAUAUUAUGAAUGUAUUGAAAGCCGUUGAACUAUACACAUUAAAAUGAUGGAAGUUGUUAAUUUUGUCUUAUGUGAAUUUUUACUCAAUUAAAAAAAGUUAAAGCCACAGGAACUAUCACUACACACUAGAAAGUCUCCCUCUGUGUGUGUGUCUGUCUCUUUCUGUAUAGAUGAUAUUCAUUAUAUAUUGAAACUAUAUAUAUGAGAUAUAUAUACGUAUACAUAUGAAAUGUGUUUGAGAGAUACACACAAAUGUAUAUAAGCAUACGUACGCAUGAGAAUUGACAAUACCAAGUGCUGACAGAGAUACAGAGCCACUAUUACUCUCAUUCAUCACUGUUGGUAAUGGAAAAUGAUAGUCAUUUUGGAAAAUAGUUUGGUAGUUUCUUACAAAAUUAAACAUACUCUUACCUUUGGACUCUGAUAUGCCACUCCUGGGUUUUUACCCAAGAGAAAUAAAAACUUAGAUCCACACUAAAAUAGUAUGUGAGUGUUUAUAGU